ACUUCGUUUGAUUUCAGAUAUAUGCGUUCGUAGGGUACUUCAUUUCAACAUGGAUUCGGGCAAGGUGGAAUGAGAGGUAGGGUUGAGGAAGGUCUCCCAAUGAUAAGAGGGCUGAAGGAAGGCAUUCUGAUGAUGGUAGUCAUCCAUCUUCAAGGAAAUGGGAUGAAUAGAAAUUCUCACUGGACACAGUGCUAUGUCAAUACUCUCAAAUUCUCUGUAUGAACAAAAAAUUGGUUUAUUUGCUUAAAUUGCUUUGAAGAACCAAAUGUUGUUGAAGGUGCUCUUUGUCAUAUACCAAAAGUUGUUG
This 307-nucleotide long non-coding RNA is filed under the name Glycine max (soybean). RNAcentral describes it as "long non-coding RNA (GMAX_LNC004639)". Lineage: Eukaryota; Viridiplantae; Streptophyta; Magnoliopsida; Fabales; Fabaceae. The record is from RNAcentral.